This 162-nucleotide ribosomal RNA is filed under the name Botrytis sp. RNAcentral's name for it is "partial large subunit ribosomal RNA". Lineage: Eukaryota; Fungi; Ascomycota; Leotiomycetes; Helotiales; Sclerotiniaceae. The record is from RNAcentral.
GUGUACUUCAUCAAGUUCAGGCCAGCAUCAGUUUGAGUGGUUAGAUAAAGGCUUAGAGAAUGUGGCCCUCUUCGGGGGGUGUUAUAGCUCUAGGUGCAAUGUAGCCUACUUGGACUGAGGACCGCGCUUCGGCUAGGAUGCUGGCGUAAUGGUUGUAAGCGA